Long non-coding RNA from Brienomyrus brachyistius, 8533 nucleotides. RefSeq lists it as uncharacterized. The record is from RefSeq and is a predicted model, not a curated record. The transcript is spliced from 4 exons. NCBI's taxonomy places the organism in Eukaryota, Metazoa, Chordata, Actinopteri, Osteoglossiformes, Mormyridae.
CAAAACAAAUUCGUAAUCCACUUCUCAUAAAAAAAUGCUUCAAUGUAAAUAAAUAAUAUACGCAUGACAGAUAAAAUAAUAAAUGAAUAAAAAAAACGGAACAGUUUGGCUGGUGUGGACCGCCGCACGCAUCGGAUCGCCCCCGCGAUCUCUUCUCUGGGUGCUGUGCCUGCUUCCUGUUAGCUGUGUCUCCUUGACCCUCGGGCUGCCGAUCUCCUCCCUGAAGCACACCUUUGUGCCAGGCUGUCUGUGUCACUUCCUGUCUCUCCCACCUGGUCUAACAAUCCGGUUAUUGAUGGCAGCCAGCUGCUCUGAACCGGUUUGUCUGGCUAUGGGACGGCGUCCUGAAUGCCUCAGCCUCUCAGAGUGUUUGCCCACAUCUGCAGCUUCUGUUUAUACAAGACUGGCACAAAUGUCCUGCCAGGCACCUCUGCCUGCUCCCUUCAGCGGUAAACAUGGAGACGUAGUCAGCCGCUAUUGGUUUGCUGUUUACCAGGACAGGCUAUCACUGUCUCCAUUUAAAACGGUUCACCUUAAUUAUAUGGCUUCAUAUGACUUGUUUUCCCUCCAUCCAAGCCUGAAUAUCUCCCUCUCUCUCUCUCUCUCUCUCUCUCUCUCUCUCCCAGUCUGUACUGCUUGCCUCUUACCCAGGCACUAAACUUCCUGUGAAAGGCAGGGGGAUGGAAUAGACACAUGUGUCUGGAUGUGUGAGGGGCUGCAGCUACUGGGUAGUGCUGGUAUGGAGAGCCGAAGCAGGGAGGAGACAGCCUUAGUCACGCAGAGUGAGGGAAGGGCUUACUGACUAACAAUCACUGAGUGUGUGGUAGAGAUGUGCUUCCUUCCUGAAAAUAAAAGAAGCACUUCUCCUCUCUUCUAUGGCUCCUCGCUGACACACAUUUUCUCAAGGGUAGGGUACUGUAAUGUUCGAUAACUUCAUAUAUCGAAGGCAUUGGCACAUGACGCCUUGGAUGCGUAGCUAUGAGUCGGCAUCAACCAAAAGGUGCUGGCCCACAACACCUCUCUCUAGCUACUGUUAUCUUUAAAUCAGAAAUCUGCUCCAUGCUGGUUAAGCCCGGUUCCUCCGACUGCAACCUGGGGGCAAAACGGCGCACUGUGCCUUUAAACAAAGAAUGCGAGCGAUGCACCACAGUGUCUAGGCGACGGGUGCUGGGGCCUGCUGGAAUGUUGGCAGCUAUUCGAUUUCCUGCAGUCCUGUCCCAGGUGUUAAAGCUCCGGGAAAACAAACAGAGAGAGAGAGGGAGAGAGAGAGAACGAAAAGCGACAGAGAAGAGGAGACAGACAAACAGGGAACGCCGGAGAUAGAGACGAUUUCGGCGAAAAUCCCAGACGUGAGGUCAUUUCCUGGUGCACCGAAAACCUGAAAUGACCGACCACUGGGCCAGUGAAAGAGGAAAACGUAACAAUCUCUGCCCUGCUCUUUUUAUUCCGAGGUUUUUCAUUGCAGACCACUGACAGUCUCACCCUACAGUAACUAAACGCCUGUAACCCAGCUGGAAGGCAGGAGAUUACGGAAACCCCCCCCCCACCUGUAAAGUCUAGUCAAGGUUGCUCCCGUCCCCCCUGCACAAAUCCUGACAGGGCUGCUUGUAAAGGGUGUCAUUCAAUAACAUCUACUUCAAUAACGUCGCCUUUGGUCCACCACCUUCAUCUGGCACUGAGGUUAUUUCCUGACACCCUGAGUAAGUAAAGGCUUUCAUUUCACGGAACUAAAGUGCUGACCUAUGUGGGAGGGUGGGCUACGGAUGGACUUUGCCAAAGGCAGCGGCUGUGAACGAGCGGGAUAUUUCACAACGACGGAGGAGGAAACCCAGAACGGUUGCUCAAGCAUGCCCGAUCCUACAGGCCUAGAGGGAAAAGGAUCGACUUAAAGAACCGCGGCCCACAGUGAGUUCAGGAAGCCGGGCCAGGCGGCCCGCAGGCCACAGAGGGUGUGUGUCCAGUUACGCAAAAAAGGGCCCAACGGCUGAACUUCCCUGCCCAAGUCAGAGGAGCUGGGAGGAAGACGGAGAGAAAACAGAUACUGUCAACAAACCGGUUAAUUCCUGGUCCUGCACGACACGGGACGAGCGGAGACUUUCCAGCAGCCCCCUUUCAUCCCCCACGGUUCGGGGCACACUGUGAUUUCCCUGGUAACCUUGCAUGCGAAAAGGUGAGUAAUUACAGCCUCGGCACACGGUCGGGGACAGAUCUGCCCGGUGACAAGAGCCAACAGGGGCUUAUGUUUGGUGCAAAUCUCCUAAAAUAUGUGACUUGAACCCAAGAUAAUUACAGCACUGAGGCUAGGCCACAGGCUUUUGCUGGAGGUGCACGUGGUGUGGUCCUCCACCCUGCAUUGCCCGCUGGUGUUUACUGUAAAUCAUGGUGUAAUAAUUGGCAGCUUUAUGGUAUUACCUUGGCAAAACCACCAUGCAACCGCAGGGGGAAUUAAGGGCAAUAAUGAACCUGGACUUAAAAAUAACUUGAACGUUUUCACGUUGCGUGAAUCCCGAGCCCUGCCGCCUUUGUUGUGCUGUCAGUGUGGAAUGAAGCACAUGCUGUCCCCAGCAUCCCCGCCCAGGACCGCGCCACAUCUGAGUCUGCCCCGGGGGCCGCCUCAUCCCCAGGCAGAGGAGAGAGACUCGGGCAAAAUGACGGCGGCCAGCCUACACGCUCUCAGAGAUCAGUGUACACACGCCAAGCAAGCUGAUAUUUCAACAUCAACUACUACACUUCUGUAUAAUUAACUCUACCCAAUUUGGGUCUCUUCUGGUUUGGUCCAUUGCUAUGCUGGCAAGUGACCUUUGACCUCCCUCCCACCCCGCCUCCCCCACCCUCAUCUUAGGAGGGAGAGCAGCUGGCAGAGGAACCAGUGCUGGAAAGUCCGAAACGUAAAUGUCAGUGAAAAACAGGUAGGUUGCAGAAAGACCCUAUGAGGAUAUCUACUGAACAGGACAGUGUUUCCUGUUCGGUUUAUAUAAGAUGCAUUUAUAGAAAUAAUAAUUAAUACAUCUGAAGAAGCAGCACAACGGCAAUAUAACUAAAUGUUCAUACAGCCCUUCUUUGUUUGUCUAAAGGAAUAAACACACAAUAGCUGGGACAGAAUCAUUAUUUAGGAACAACAGUGAUCUCACCUAUACCGGUUAUUCUAAUGAAAUUCUUGUGAGAUUAAAACAAAGAAUUGGAAAAAGGCAGUAAAUGGUAUCCAAACAGGUAAUUCAGGUCAGAAUAAGACUGGUAAUACUGGAAGGGAAUGAGAGCCGAGCGCCAGCCUCGCAUUGUUCUCCUCUGGCAGCGGACGGAGAGGUUAACUGUUCGUCAUGAGCGGCGGACUGAAGGCAGGCACCCCGUUUGAACGUUUUGUCUCUGAGGGACGAGGCUGUGAACUGCAGGCACCACAAACAGCCUGAGAGCCCCCCCUCCCCCCUCCCCGCUAAAGGUCUCUCAGCGCUACAAGGCUCCUUCGCAGUUGACUUGCAGUCAUGUCCGACGGCCUUUGAUUAGGACAGCGUUCAUUAAAGCGAUUAUGCACUAACGUUCCGUCCUUUCCCAAAGGCUGUUGAAUAUGGAGGGGGGGGGGGUCCUUCUGCCUGAGUUAAAAUCCCAGCUCCCACAUUUGCAUCUGACUAACCAUGUUCCACCGUCACACGCACCACCGUGCGGCCUGCGGGACGAAACCUUGCCUUUUGCUGGACGCUUUGUUGACUCACUGCACCUACAGGCAUCUUCAGAUUCACUGGGCCGCUAACGUCUUAAGGACCUUGCUGUGGAAAGAAACUUGAGGCUGUUUGCGCUGGGAUCAACCAUGGCCAUCGUCAGCUGUUCGCCAGCAUUGCGGCCCAAGCGUCUUCAGUGGCGAGGGGGCAGGAAGCCUGUGAGGAUCAGUGUAUCCUUCUAAGGUGCUGUUUUGCAUGUCACACGUCAGCAUCGACUUAAUACAGCUCUCUAUAGCUGCAGCUAUGGUAACUGUGAGGUCAUUUAUGCAUUAACCUGUUGAACAUCCACGGUUACCAUAUCUAUGUGCAUAUAUAGACAGAACUGCGACAGCUUGAUAUCGAAGGUAACAUAAGGACAUGAAGGUACAAGACAAUGGACACAACCAUGAUCUUGUCAUUUUGGAAACGAACAACUUUUCACCGCCACAAUCCGUAAAGACCCCACCGAGAUACUUACAAUGGUUAGGUGUCGGUUUGGUAUAUUUGCCAGUGGAUAUUACGUCAAACAACCAAAUAAGUAAAUGGAUACAUGUGCACUUCAUUUCUGCACCUAUAUGUCGAGAAAGACAUGCACGUUUAACAUAAAGCUUCUCUCAAAAAAAAUCACUCUAUAUAUUUGUGCCACAGCAUUAAUAAUAUGCUCACUACAGCAACUGUGCUGCUUAGAGACCUCUCCAGUACUGGACAAGCAUAUAUCAAGAGUUCAAGCAAAGUCUGUCAAGUGCCCCAGUAACAAAACAUACUGCAGUUUAUCUCCCAAUUGGCAUUUUCCUUCAGGAACAGAGACCACCCCCUCCCUCCCCCCAAAGACUCAGCUCCACACAGAUUCACACCCUCGCGUUGCCCUUGGUUAAACGCCCAAAGCUGAACUUCGAUGUGCGCAGCGACGUGCUAAUAUUUAGCGUGUCCUUGUGUGACCAAAGGCUCAAUGCUCACCACCGUCCCUAAUCGUACCCUGGGCUGUUUCGCUUUUUGCCUUCUUUCUCCAUCCUCUUUUUUUCAUGCCUUUUUUCUGUGUUCCUUGCAACAACAUGCGGGCUGUCAUUCCCUAUGGCCCGCAAUCAAAGAGAUGACAUCACUGAAUGAAAUGAGCUGUAUCUGGCAUAGACAUUGUGAGGACCGAGACUCGCAGAAUUCGGUCUUUGGACUUUUCCAGGAAUUAGCAACCAGCAAAUGAAUCAGUCUUUCAUUUUAAAAGAUUGCGUGAGACAGUUAAAUGCAAAUCGCUGCGCUGUGAUCCAAGACAACACCUAUGACCGUGCAAAUAUUAGUGAAUUGCUCUUCACAGUAAAUCACAUGCAUCAGUGCAACUAACUGCAAGUGAUGCUAAAAUAAUGUUGCAUAAAUUCUUUCUUUUGAUAGUUAAUGUGUUUGAAGUUGCAGGUGUUUGUGUUUAUCAUACCAAAAAAGCAUUUCCAUAUUUUCACCUACAUCUCUCUGUCAGUAGUUGUUAACCAGGCUUUGUAACUGAGGUAGAUCUUUUUAAAAGCCUUUCCUGCAGAUUAGCAGACCUAACCAGUAUUGUGAGCCCGGUCAUUCUCAAAUUCUUGAUUGAAGGAUAAGCAUAAAAUGCAGUGAACAAUUACAUCUUUAUAAAUAUGUUGACUUCCUUCCUUAUUUGUUUGUUGGACAAUUUUCCUUAUGGGAAGAAAUCAGUGGUUGCUACCACGCAUCAUAGAGAACCCAGCUGGGGGACGUGCACCUCACGACAUAAACGAUUUCUAUAAUAUUUUCAAUUUACAGAGAUCGUCUGAGGAAAAUAUGGUGAACAUUUGAUACCGAAAAUACACCAAACCCAACCCUGUGGUGUACGUUACAAAUCGGACCCUAAACCGUCGACCAAAUCGGUAAAGGAUGCGGAAGUCAAGUGUCAGAUAAUUCGAUCACCUAUACAUGAAAGGUGCAGCACACAUGCCACCGAAGUCUCUCGUCUUUUAUAGAACCGGAAGGUUCCGUUUACUCCUUCAUUAUACAAACUGCAUGCUCAUACUUUCAGAAUGACUUUCAGUCGGCUCAUUAAUGUGGCAAAAUCAUCGGUUGUCGCGGUACACGGCUUUUAGACCCACGCCUUUUGAUCAAAGAACAUCCUCAUCAUUAUCGUGAUGUAUAAUUGACAGCAGUAAUUAUAUGUUGUGCUGUAAAUUACUUAUUUACCUGAAUAACUAGAAACGAUGGUAAGAUUGCGAGUGUAUUUCGAUUUUUUAUACUUAUUGGUGUUCAGUUUCUAAAUGCCUUGUAGCGUACCACCGAAACGAUCUCUCACUCUUUUCUAAGCAUUUACUUCAUUUCGCACGCAUGUGUCAGCCAGAUAUCUUUCAUGGAGUAGCAUUGGUCACGUCCGUAGCUUUCGAUGCAAACCAGGGGCGUUUCUAGGUAUUGAAAAGAUCAGGGGCUAAGUCAAGUUUACCUGGGGCUUGACUUAUUAUUUUAUUUUAUUUUAUUUUAUUUAUUUACUUAUUUAUUUGAAGGGAGUUUGGCAUCGGGGCUAAAAUACUCAGGGAUUUAUCCCCAAGUGAUCGGACAAACCCACACCAUUAGAUCUUUAAUUGAAAGAUUGCAGGUUCGAAUCCCCGACCAGCAAGACACCACUGAGGUACCUUAGCAAGGUGCCGCCCCAAGCACUGCUCCCCGGGCGCUGAAUUAGCUGUCCCCCUGCUAUGUCACAUAUGGGUUAAAUACAGAGGACACGUUUCGUUGUUGUGCGCUGUGUGCUGUGAUGUGUCAAUGACCACUGAUCACUAAAUUCUAUUUCUAAGCAUGUUUGCAGCUUAUAAACCACAGGAUAUUGCACAUUAAUCAAGACCUUCAAUUUUGCACACUCUGAUGCUAUCAAUUUUAUAAGCAUUUUCAUUUCACAGCAACGACAUAGUGUCGGAGUAAACCUGAACUCGGAUUUCUGUGAGAUACAUUAAUCUGUUUUAUAUACCGUGGAAAUGUUAAAAGUACAGGUUAACAUCCAUCGUUCAUAUAUGCUAACUUUUAUGUGUGCAUUUACUACAUUAAGAUUAUAUUGCUUACUGCACUGUAAACAGGUGUUAAGAAAUAAAUUCUUUUGCUUAUAUAUACAAAGCCUUAGUCAUUGCUGUGCCGUAUGGUUAAUCAGAUUCACUUUUGGCGCAUUGUGUGCGUUCUGUUAUGCGCGUUCUGUGCAUUUAUUCAGGGUGGAGGAAAGCACUCAUCGGGCAUCUGUCACAUGACGAAGGACUGAGUAUAAAAAGGACUCACAUAUUCCCACAUCCAGAUGCGAGUGGCAGCUGUGACGGUGGAGCAUUUAAAUGCCAUCGACUAUCGAACAUCUGGACAGUUAUUUUUAAGUGGCACACUAAGAGAACGUUGUGCUUCUUCAGGAUGUUGUGAUGCUUAACAGAGAUAUACAACCAACAAGACUAUAUAAGUGUAGAACACUGAUCAGAUAGCUAACUCUUUAGCUAUUGAAAAGAUCAGGGGUUAAGUGAAGUGUACUUGGGGCUUGAUUUUUUAUUUUUUUUUGAAGGAAGAUCAGCAUUGCGGCUAAAAUACUCGGGGCUCUGCCUAAAAUACUCUGUCUACGGCCUCGAGUGAUCUACCUAACGAGGCCUAUGGUCAAUACUGAACCCCCCGCCCCCUAGGGGUUCAAGGUCUUGCGGGUUGCCCUACUUUAGGAAGCUCAGGGUGUGUGAUAACAUAAACACAGAAGACAUGCCCCCUCCGCCCGCCCAUUUAAUUCCACUUCUCCAGUUUAUGGUUAAACCCUCGCCCAGCAACACACACAUUGCCAUGGUGAACUGGACAUGUGACCUUAUCUUCAGCCAGAAUCCCCUGCCUUCACAGUCAGCAUGUAGCAGCACCAACACAGAGCCUUACAGCGCACUCCUGACCGAGCUCUGUUGAAGCCAUUUUUUAACACUUUCUAGAUGGUUCAUGGACUUUAAUGUAGUUUUACCUAAAAGUGUUUUUAAUUCUCAGGGUCAAUGCAUAUUCAUUUUAUACACAAUUACUGUGGAUGGGGAAUCCCCAAAUAUGUCAUUAUGCCACUGUAUCAGGGAACUAACAAAAGAAUACUUGGAAACCUCACUCCUCAAUCAGAUUUAUCAGUAGGGUCCUUCUCUGGUCCUGCACUCUGGUUAUAGGUCAUGCCCUUCUCUUGCUUCCAGGUUAUGAGGUAAGCGGUAAGCCUAUAGACAUUUCAGCAUUCACUAACGAGCAUAAAGGUUUUCACAGUUUUGUGAUGCGAUAUUUGUAGGUGUGUAUAUAUUUUGAUUAAAUCAUGCAUCCAAGUGCAUAAGCCAAGGGAAUUUUGUUUAUGUAGCAAAACAGGUGUUGUUUGUUGCCGGUCUAUAGUGUGUUUUUUUCACCUAGAAGAGAGUUGAUAUCAACGUCUCAGAACUUGAUGCGGUAUAGCGCAAUAUCUAACCGUAGGAAUACAUUCCACCUGUUAGCUAUGUGUGAUGAAUUUCCCCCCUCCCAGGUGUCACUUCCUAAUAAGGAUAAGGAAAUCUAACCCGGCAGCCCAGGUGACUUUAUGAGAGUUGAAACAAAUUUUAUUUGACAUGCCUACACACGAUAUUAUCGGCGCGUCGCUUGCGGCAUAAACCAUGCCCCCCCCCCCCCCAUUCCAGCCCCUUCCAGCCGCCUGUUUCUCCACCACCCACUUCCACACGAAGGCGUGAUGCUGGAAACCGGCCGAGAUGGGAUAGGCUUCCCGGUUUCCUCGGAGGAAGUGACGCGUCGGCCUGCCCAUAUAUGGGCUGCAAUUCGGCCUGCAUGUGAGUCAGUUCCCUUUACUAAAGGAAUACAGUUAUAAUGAAUAAAAGUUUGAAUCGAUUAUUUUAAUGUAAGUA